RNAcentral lists this ribosomal RNA (383 nucleotides) under uncultured eukaryote. Its description in RNAcentral is "partial 18S ribosomal RNA". It matches the Rfam family "Eukaryotic small subunit ribosomal RNA", at positions 592 to 976 of the family's 1831-position model. The record is from RNAcentral.
CAAUAGCGUAUAUUAAAGUUGUUGCAGUUAAAAAGCUCGUAGUUGGAUUUCUGGUGGGAGCGAUCGGUCUGGCGCUUAGCGCGAGUACUUGCAUCGUCUCCGGCCAUCCUUGGGGAGAGUCUGUCUGGCAUUAGGUUGUCGGGCAGAGGAUCCUCAUCGUUUACUGUGAAAAAAUUAGAGUGUUCAAAGCAGGCUUAUGCCGUUGAAUAUAUUAGCAUGGAAUAAUAAGAUAGGACUUUGGUACUAUUUUGUUGGUUUGCGCACCAAAGUAAUGAUUAAUAGGGACAGUUGGGGGUAUUCGUAUUCCGUUGUCAGAGGUGAAAUUCUUGGAUUGACGGAAGACGAACUACUGCGAAAGCAUUUACCAAGGAUGUUUUCAUUAA